UCCUCCUUCAUCACAAUUUGAAACUUACCCUUAUAUGUAUCCAAUGAAACCCCAUCCGCCCGCUUCUGCAUUCGAUACUUCUGUGCCGAGCAGUUUCACUUAUCCACACCCUACGAACCCUCUUUCAACCUCAUCUGACUCUCCAACCUGCUACCCUCCUCCUGCAAACCCCUCGCUCACACCGCCAUCGUCUCUGACACAUAGCUUGCCGAACAAUUUCUCUUAUCCACACCCUCCAUCUACCUCAUCUGACUCUCCAACCUGCUACCCUCCUCCUGCAGACCCCUCGCUCACACCGCCAUCUUCUCUGACACAUAGCUUGCCUACCAAUUCUUCUUAUACAUAUCCUACAAUCCCUCCUUCAACAUCAUCUGGCUCUCCAACCUCCUACCCUCCUUCUGCAAACUUC
This 409-nucleotide long non-coding RNA is filed under the name Physcomitrium patens. RNAcentral describes it as "long non-coding RNA (PPAT_LNC007533)". Lineage: Eukaryota; Viridiplantae; Streptophyta; Bryopsida; Funariales; Funariaceae. The record is from RNAcentral.